This 253-nucleotide ribosomal RNA is filed under the name uncultured bacterium. RNAcentral's name for it is "partial 16S ribosomal RNA". It matches the Rfam family "Bacterial small subunit ribosomal RNA", at positions 524 to 776 of the family's 1533-position model. The record is from RNAcentral.
UACAGAGGUCUCAAGCGUUGUUCGGAUUCAUUGGGCGUAAAGGGUGUGUAGGUGGCGCGCUAAGUCGGGUGUGAAAUUUCGGAGCUUAACUCCGAAACUGCAUUCGAUACUGGCGUGCUUGAGGACUGGAGAGGAGACUGGAAUUCAUGGUGUAGCAGUGAAAUGCGUAGAGAUCAUGAGGAAGACCAGUGGCGAAGGCGGCUCACUGGACCGGCAUUGACGCUGAGGUGCGAAAGCGUGGGGAGCAAACAGG